Long non-coding RNA from Cotesia glomerata, 103 nucleotides. RefSeq lists it as uncharacterized. The transcript has 3 exons. NCBI's taxonomy places the organism in Eukaryota, Metazoa, Arthropoda, Insecta, Hymenoptera, Braconidae. The record is from RefSeq and is a predicted model, not a curated record.
UUUGCCUCGGCUCAUCAGUAAAUUCGAAUAAAAAAAAACGACAAACAAAAAAAUUCGAAAAUUAAGGUAAAUUUUUUUUUUUUUUUUUUUGUACUUCCUCAAA